This 245-nucleotide ribosomal RNA is filed under the name uncultured bacterium. Its description in RNAcentral is "partial 16S ribosomal RNA". It matches the Rfam family "Bacterial small subunit ribosomal RNA", at positions 524 to 768 of the family's 1533-position model. The record is from RNAcentral.
UACGAGUGCCUCAAGCGUUAUCCGGAAUUACUGGGCGUAAAGGGUGUGUAGGCGGUUCUAUUAGUCUUGUGUAAAAACUUCGCGCUUAACGCGAAAUCUGCAUAGGAAACGGUAGAACUAGAGGAUGCAAGGGGCACAUAGAACUCAUGGUGUAGGGGUGAAAUCCGUUGAUAUCAUGGGGAAUACCAAAAGCGAAGGCAGUGUGCUGGUGCAUUCCUGACGUUGAAACACGAAAGCGUGGGUAG